This 483-nucleotide ribosomal RNA is filed under the name uncultured bacterium. RNAcentral's name for it is "bacterial SSU rRNA". It matches the Rfam family "Bacterial small subunit ribosomal RNA", at positions 28 to 523 of the family's 1533-position model. The record is from RNAcentral.
GACGAACGCUGGCGGCGUGCUUAACACAUGCAAGUCGAACGGUGAACCAGAGCUUGCUCUGGGGAUCAGUGGCGAACGGGUGAGUAACACGUGGGCAACCUGCCCAGACUCUGGGAUAACCUCGGGAAACCGAUGCUAAUACCGGAUACGACCACUUCGGACAUCCGACGGUGGUGGAAAGUUUUUCGGUCUGGGAUGGGCCCGCGGCCUAUCAGCUAGUUGGUGGGGUAAUGGCCUACCAAGGCGACGACGGGUAGUCGGCCUGAGAGGGCGACCGGCCACACUGGAACUGAGACACGGUCCAGACUCCUACGGGAGGCAGCAGUGGGGAAUAUUGCACAAUGGGCGAAAGCCUGAUGCAGCGACGCCGCGUGAGGGACGACGGCCUUCGGGUUGUAAACCGUCUUUCAGCAGGGACGAAGCGAAAGUGACUGUACCUGCAGAAGAAGCACCGGCUAACUACGUAGCCAGCAGCCGCGGUAA